Microcebus murinus (gray mouse lemur) is the source of this 690-nucleotide long non-coding RNA. RefSeq lists it as uncharacterized. NCBI's taxonomy places the organism in Eukaryota, Metazoa, Chordata, Mammalia, Primates, Cheirogaleidae. The record is from RefSeq and is a predicted model, not a curated record.
UAAGGGAGGGGGAAAGGAGGGACUUGCGGAAGAAAGACGGUCAGAUUAUCCAAUGGCAAGGCUAGCUUGCUCUCUAAGGCGUGUAAGACAAGGUUGCGUGCGUGGUGUCCGCCCAAAAAGGCCGCCUUCUCAGAUUUAAAAACCAAUGAAAGAUGCAGGAAGUGAAGAUGGGCGGGAACUAUAGAUGAUAGGCUUGCAAAGAAACCAGUUAACCGCCAGGCGGGCUCCCUGAGCAGUAGGGAUAGGGAGAGCUUUUAUAGGAAUGACAGAACAACGACCAACCAGGAUCCUGGACAUGCCUAGGCAAAAUCCUAAUGGGAGGAAAGGAUAGAAGAAAAGAAAAAGUAAGAGUCCUUCAACAAGAAAAUAAAGUCUCAUCGGUCUUCUAAACCUUUAUUUUCUAGCUCUCUGAACAAAAAACCCUAGGUUUUCCACAUCACAAGUUUGUGAUAAGCAGGCUAAGAUCAAUCAGUGCAGUGGUGACUAUAGAAGCUGGAUGGAACAUCUCACACAUUCCUCAGUCUUUUAAGAGCCCUGGAGAGGCAAGAAAUGAAUCCAAAAGAGAACUGAAACAAGCUGGGCGGGCUUCUCUGUUUGGGAAGCCCAGAACUUCUUGUGAGAAAUCAGGACUGGCUGCUGAUGUUCUUUAUGACUAUUAUAAUUAUUUAAAAUGACUCAUUCUGUACCUUU